Branchiostoma floridae (Florida lancelet) is the source of this 409-nucleotide long non-coding RNA. RefSeq lists it as uncharacterized. The transcript has 3 exons. The record is from RefSeq and is a predicted model, not a curated record. Lineage: Eukaryota; Metazoa; Chordata; Leptocardii; Amphioxiformes; Branchiostomatidae.
GGUGACACCACGGAUGGCAACAAAGGAAGUGAGGAAUACACUUCAGAGGACGCCGUACAGCCACAGGACAACUCUGAUGACCUGUGCGUCGCUGUUACAGAGAAGGGGCCGUCGUGCGAGGAAGAAAACUCCCUGUCCGAAGAAAUCAAACACGGUGUAGCUGUUGCUUCAAGGGAGAAAAGGGUACCACUCAGAAGGCAGCCGAGCUGUGACUCCCUCUUCACCGGGAAGCACCUGAAGCCCGCCGGCGUCUGGAGGCCGUAUGGCCCGCCGCUGUACGGGUACGGCUCCGCCCUGAAUCCGCCGCGCAGGAAAGGGCCGGACACGCUGGUCAUCCUCGCCGCCAUCUUCUACUGCCUGGCCGCCCUGACUGCUGUGGUCUUCGCUGUGCUGUUCAAAACCAACGUCG